CAGGUGUCCAAGAUUAUUUCCCCAGCUAGGUCUGUGGGCAGCAGAGCAUAUUCUGAUUCCACAGAAUAAUCUACGAUGAAUGUUUUAACUCAGAACACUUCAAAACCAGAACCCUCCAUAUGAGAUCUGAGCCUCUCUGAAUCAGACACACUUUGGGCACCACUCUACCCUUGCCCACCUGAAAGUCAACAGAGUCCCUCGAGGGGAAGUGAGAAUAGUUGGGACAAGAGAUACCGGAGAUGGAGGCAAGACAGGAUUCUCAUCAAGACUUGUUUAUUCAAGAGAAGAAUCCAGGCAUAAAGUCCCUAAGUGCAACAAGAAGAAAAGUCAGAAUGUUCAAACCAUGGGAAAAAUGGAGCAAUAAAUCCGUGCAGAGUUAGUAUGUGAGAGAUCAGAAGAGCAUGAGGAGUCAAGCACAACAUGAUGUGCAAAACUGAAUCAGGAAGCAACUCAUAGAGGGAUCUCUCAUUGAACUGGUAAUUUGAAAUAUGAACAACUGGAUAUUUUUAUAAUAUAUACAUGUGAAGAAAACUGGUAUAUUAACAUUAUCAAGUUUCCCAGGACAUGGAGCAUGAAUGAAGAAAUCUUGAGCAGGAUGCCUGGGACGAGUAAGUAGCAUUUCCCUGGAACAAUUGUCACUCAACGUGAUCAAUAAAAUAUAUGAACUACAAAAGAAAUACUGGAAAUCCCUGAACAUCUUCACAUCGUCUCACUCCUUCUCUGGAAACUAGCUUGUAGGAAAAAUGCA
Molecule: long non-coding RNA, 748 nt
Organism: Microtus oregoni (creeping vole)
Lineage: Eukaryota; Metazoa; Chordata; Mammalia; Rodentia; Cricetidae
Exons: 7
Source: RefSeq, a predicted model, not a curated record